RNAcentral lists this ribosomal RNA (413 nucleotides) under uncultured bacterium. RNAcentral's name for it is "bacterial SSU rRNA". It matches the Rfam family "Bacterial small subunit ribosomal RNA", at positions 505 to 916 of the family's 1533-position model. The record is from RNAcentral.
GUGUCAGCCGCCGCGGUAAUACGUAGGUGGCAAGCGUUGUCCGGAUUUAUUGGGCGUAAAGGAUGUGUAGGCGGUUAUUUAAGUGUGAUGUGAAAUCCCAGGGCUUAACUUGGGGGCUGCAUUUGAAACUGGAUGUCUGGAGUGCAGAAGAGGAAAGCGGAAUUCCAAGUGUAGCGGUGAAAUGCGUAGAGAUUUGGAGGAAUACCAGUGGCGAAGGCGGCUUUCUGGACUGCAACUGACGCUGAGGCGUGAAAGCAUGGGGAGCAAACAGGAUGAGAUACCCUGGUAGUCCAUGCCGUAAACGAUGAGUACUAGGUGUAGGAGGUAUCGAGUCCUUCUGUGCUGCAGCUAACACAAUAAGUAUUCCGCCUGGGGAGUACGGUCGCAAGAUUAAAACUCAAAGGAAUUGGCGG